This is a long non-coding RNA of Acipenser ruthenus (sterlet), 2908 nucleotides long. RefSeq lists it as uncharacterized. The record is from RefSeq and is a predicted model, not a curated record. The transcript has 3 exons. Lineage: Eukaryota; Metazoa; Chordata; Actinopteri; Acipenseriformes; Acipenseridae.
CAAGCGAAUGAUUGACGUCGAUUACACCUGGCCACACCCUACACAAAGACAAGGACAAGGCUGUUUGUGAGACAGGAGGAUCGCAUGAACGUCACAAUUGAAAAGCUUGUUGAGGAAACCGACGCUGGCAGAUGUGUUGGAAUAGAGAUCCGGAAUAAAAGCGCAAAAAUCAUCCUGGAGCACCCUGAAACCUACUGCUCCAGCGGUUACCUGAAAAGUCCUCCAUAACCAUCCGUUCAUCCUGGAGAGACGGGCAUGGCUGUCUUUGUGAAGACCCAAAAUUCACUUCGUGGAAGCGUGGGGGUCCUCAGCUACAAGUUCAACCACAAGCGUUUCUUCCUCUACUUCUCAAACCCCUUUGACUAUGUUCUGUAUAACAACGAGUUUGCAUUGCACAUCGCUGAUGAAUUUGUGCGAACAGACGACAAAUUGUAUGAAAGUCUAACUCUUGGCCAUGCGCCACAGCCUUAUGAAAAGAGGGAUAUCAGGCAUGGGAAUUCAUCUUUGAAACUGAAAGGUGAAGGGGCACAGAUUGCAGCUACAAUGUCUGCAAACGCCAAACCAAUCAUUAAGCUUGAGUUUAGUGAUUAAACUUAUGACCAGGCUAGCUUCAGUUUAGUGAGGAAGCUUUUUAAGAACCAUGCUAGCUUCAGUUUAGUGAGGAAGGUUUUUAAGAACCAUUCUAGCUUCAGUUUAGUGAGGAAGGUUUUUAAGAACCAUGCUAGCUUCAGUUUCUUUUUAGAGCAUUAACGCUAAAAAAACCCUUUUUUAAGCACAAUCACAGAAUUAGGGAUCUUUCUCUUUAGACAAUUGCAUUAGGUUGUAAAAAGUUGCAGCACAGUCCUAGUUUGUUUAUAAUGGGGUUUAUAAUAUGCUGCAUGAUUUAUAUAUGGCCUCAGCUCUAUUACAUGUACACAUGAUUGUCUUUCAAUAAAAAAAAACAUUGCUGAAUAAAAUUGCGUCAUCUGUGUGAUGUCAAAAAAGGUUAUUGUUAUAGAAUUGAAUCUGGUAUAUUUUUCCUGACUCUAAGAUUGAUGCUCAAUAUAGAACUGGUGGAUCCAUUUACUACGUGUUUUCUAAGCAUUCGCAUAUUUUGGAUUAUCUACAACUAUGGGCAAACGUUUAGCAUCACCUAGAAUUUUAGGAUUGAAACCAUUUAGCCAUUUUAUUUAACAUCAUGUAUAUGGGACCAUCUCUUGGUUAUUACAUUGUAACAACCCAGGACUGAUUAGGACAAACAGGUGAUGCAUCUGAAGUUCAUUUGGUAACACUUUAGUUUAAGGAUCCCUUACAAACAAUCAAUAACAACAUGCUAGAACGGAAAUGGAUUCAUCCUAAUAAAGGGCUCCAGCAACAAAGUGUUCUGCAAUACUAAGAAACGUUGCUGUUGAGCAUGACAUGAGAUAGUCUAGUGUAAGGUCAUUCUUAAUAAUCUAUCUCUUAAUAAUCAAUCGAAACCUUUCCUUUACUUGAAGGGGAACCGGUUUUGUUUUCAGGACGUUGUCUCACAGAAGUUGUGGUUUUGCAGAUGUGUGUGUCUGAUCACGUACUUUAAAAACACUUUGAAGAAACCACAACAGUGUUGGUAAGAGGGAACUAUAAGGACGAGCGCGUCAUAGAGAACUACACAACCACAAACCACCGGGUCUUAUUGAGGGACUGAAACAAGGUGCAGAAAGACAUCCUGUCACGUACAGCACUGCCCAAGGCGGAGUCUCGUUGCAGUUUUGUAAGAUUCAUUAUAAAAUGCACAUGUGUUUGCAAUUGUAAAUAAAGUAUUUGAAACGCGUGCUUGUCUCAUACAGCAUGUUGUGCAGCCGAGCUCUAGCAUUGCACACAAAAUCGUGUGUCAGCAAACCGCAAAGACUGCAGAGUAAUUUUCUAUCCUUCAAAACCCGCGUGGACGCUUCAUCUAUUAUUAAAAACCACUUGCUUGCACAAGGAAUCGAACCUUCCUUCUGUAAUUGAUUAGAAAAGAAACGCACAAGCGUUUUCAAUGCAAUGCGGAGAAAUCAAUGCUUCUCAACCUGCGCACAUCAAUCCCACUCAAACAUAGCGGCUGCGAUCUGUAUCCAUUCACCUUUCAUUUUCAAAGAGGAAGUUUCAUGCAAGUUAUCAUCUGUUUGCACAGAUUCAUCAGCGACGUGCAAUGCAAACCCAUUGCUGAACCAAACUCAGUCAAAGGGGUUUGAGAAGUAGAGGAGGAAACGCUUGUUCAACUUGCUGCUGAGCAGCCCCACGCUUCCACGAAGUGAACUCUGGGUCUUUAAAAGAGCCAUGACUGUCUCUCUAGGGUCAAUGUUUGGCUGUGGAAGGGACUUUUCAGGCAACCACUGAAUCAGGAAAAACAACAGAAAACGCUAACAGUAUCAUGUGAAAUAUCUACAUAUUACAAAUUGAAAUCGAGACCAAGACCCAAUUCAUCUUUAACAGAACAAGGGCCCGCGGUAAAGCUGCGCAUGCCAAUAAGGUAUGCAGUUAAAACAUUCAGCAGGAACAGUCAACAGCGCCCUCUACUGGCUACUGAAGGUAUAAAGAAAGGAAAGCUGUCAUGAAACACACACUGCAUUGCAUGGGUCGCAUUAAUUCAACAAAAUAAAACUCAAAACAUACUCAGAAGGCUUUAAAAACUCAAAAUGAAUGACCUCUUAGCUUCUCUGCAUACCGUGUUUGAACAUUUAAACCAGUAAUAUAAUCAAAACUAUUUCAUCGGAAUUCCAAAUUGUCAGCACUGCGGGGCGAUAAUACACUAACAGUGGAAAAUAUGAAUUACUGAGAAGCGGCCAGCACAUUAUCGCACCUUUUCGAUAAAGAGUGGAUUUUAUCACGGUUACGUACAUGUGUAAGCAGAAUGAUUAUGUAUCACUGUAGUGAAAUAAUCGGCGACCUAACUUCAGAAAAGUCCUGU